Molecule: long non-coding RNA, 235 nt
Filed under: Homo sapiens (human)
Lineage: Eukaryota; Metazoa; Chordata; Mammalia; Primates; Hominidae
Description: HSALNT0346907
Source: RNAcentral
AGCCUGAAAUCCUGCUUCCACUAAGUACCAGCUGGGUAACUUCAGGUGGAGCCCAGUUGACAGGAAAUGUUUCUCCAGAAGCUGAAAAGCUGCCUGGUAAAGGCCUUUCAUAAAAUGGUCUGCGUUUGGGACCAGGAAGACAGAAGACUCCUCAAGAAGAGAACUGGAACCUUAACCCACUUCAGACUUCUUCAUGUCUGAAGCUUAUUUCCACCAUCCCAUUGAGAACCAAAGA